Molecule: transfer RNA, 72 nt
Filed under: Minisyncoccota bacterium
Lineage: Bacteria; Bacillati; Minisyncoccota
Description: tRNA-Arg
Rfam family: tRNA
About the family: Transfer RNA (tRNA) molecules are approximately 80 nucleotides in length. Their secondary structure includes four short double-helical elements and three loops (D, anti-codon, and T loops).
Source: RNAcentral
GUCUCCUUAGUUCAAUGGAUAGAACGUCUCACUCCUAACGAGACGAUCCAGGUUCGAUUCCUGGAGGGGACA